Molecule: long non-coding RNA, 1276 nt
Organism: Homo sapiens (human)
Lineage: Eukaryota; Metazoa; Chordata; Mammalia; Primates; Hominidae
Product: long intergenic non-protein coding RNA 2777
Source: Ensembl
GGUCAUUUCAACUGGGGCCUUCUGUGCCUCCAGGGACACUGUGUUCCAAUCUCCUACAGAAGGAACUGAAGUUUGUCUGGGUUUGGAACUGGAAGGUGGGGCUGACUGACAGGUUCAGAGUCUGGCUUGCAGACAAGGUACAGAUGGAAAUCUUCCUGGACUCAGGCCAAGAAGAGGAGAAAGGCCCUGUGCCCAUCCUGCUGUGAUUCAGGAGUCUCGCAGAAGACAUCAGAAUGCCUUUCUCUGAGUCACAGUCUGUAUCUUCUAGAAAAGGCUGUCCAUCUUCACCCCAAGCCCACUGGCUCCUGAGAUACGACAUCCAGACCCAGUGCAGCUGGACCUGGCCCAGGAAGAUCAUGCGGUUUCUGGGAAGCACUGGAGAAGGAAAAGGCUGAAGAAAGGAAGACCGGAAAAGAAAUACAAGUCCUUCCGCCUUGGCAAAGAUGAUAGUACCGUUCCCUUCAGUGUUCCGGUUCUGCUCUAUUGGAUAAGUUCCGGUUUGACUAUGACUACGUGAAAAUGUGGAACCAGACCUUCACCCCACAUUCCAGCUCCAGCUCUACCACAGAGGAAGUGCAAUAUCACCUUAGUUAUUCAACACAUUAUGCUCCUCGUGAUACAACCAGAGUUCACAUCAGCAAUCUUGGCAGCUCUCACCACGCUGCUGACUCACGACUCUCUCAUGUCCCAAUUUCCUGUCCAUUGUUCUUUCCUCUACUUGGCCUGAUUUCUAAAGGCCUCUCUUGGUUGCAUUAAGCGGGAUUCCUGAGGGAUUCCCUUGGCAGUUACCUUGGGGGAGCUCUUAGGUUUGGGGCUGAUCCAUGUCCUCUAAAUGUAGGACUUCAAAGCUCCCAAAGAUAGGCAGGCCCAGUGGGAAGCUGGGAAAUGCUCUCUGACCCCUCUGGGAGGGCUGGCAGUCAGAGGGCCUUUUGGAAAGAGUCAGACCUGAUCCAUAAGUCCCUGGAAAACACCCUGCCCAGGGAGCAAAUGCCACUGUGGCCUUGACUGAGGCUUCAGAAGAGUUUGGGAGCUGCAAUUCAUCCACACACGCAUUCAUUUUCAAGUAGUGGUUUGCAGUUCAGGCUUUGGAGCCACAUAAGCCUGGCUUCAAAGCCACUUUCCAGCUUUGUAGGAAGUCUCUACAUUUUUAAACCUCCAUUUUUUUUUCCUGUAAAACUGGGGUCUUCAUGGUACUUAACUUCAUCGUGAUGUUGAGAGAAUGAAAAGAAAAAGGAUAAAUAAAUGGCUUAGCCUCGUGCCUUGGCACAUAUUGUGA